This 254-nucleotide ribosomal RNA is filed under the name uncultured bacterium. RNAcentral describes it as "partial 16S ribosomal RNA". It matches the Rfam family "Bacterial small subunit ribosomal RNA", at positions 524 to 776 of the family's 1533-position model. The record is from RNAcentral.
GACGAAGGGGGCUAGCGUUGUUCGGAAUUACUGGGCGUAAAGCGAGUGUAGGUGGUUGUCCAAGUUGGAUGUGAAAGCCUUGAGCUCAACUCAAGAAAUGCAUUCAGGACUGGGCGGCUAGAGGACCGGAAGAGGUAAGUGGAACUGCGAGUGUAGAGGUGAAAUUCGUAGAUAUUCGCAAGAACACCAGUGGCGAAGGCGGCUUACUGGUCCGGUUCUGACGCUGAGGCGCGAAAGCGUGGGGAGCAAACAGG